AGGGGGGUAGAGCAGUGGCAGCUCGCAGGGCCCAUAACCCUGAGGUCGGGGGUUCGAAUCCUCCCCCCGCAACCA
Molecule: transfer RNA, 75 nt
Filed under: Patescibacteria group bacterium
Lineage: Bacteria
Description: tRNA-Met
Rfam family: tRNA
About the family: Transfer RNA (tRNA) molecules are approximately 80 nucleotides in length. Their secondary structure includes four short double-helical elements and three loops (D, anti-codon, and T loops).
Source: RNAcentral